AUUGAACGCUGGCGGCAGGCCUAACACAUGCAAGUCGAACGGUAACAGGAAACAGCUUGCUGUUUCGCUGACGAGUGGCGGACGGGUGAGUAAUGUCUGGGAAACUGCCUGAUGGAGGGGGAUAACUACUGGAAACGGUAGCUAAUACCGCAUAACGUCGCAAGACCAAAGAGGGGGACCCUCGGGCCUCUUGCCAUCGGAUGUGCCCAGAUGGGAUUAGCUUGUUGGUGGGGUAACGGCUCACCAAGGCGACGAUCCCUUGCUGGUCUGAGAGGAUGACCAGCCACACUGGAACUGAGACACGGUCCAGACUCCUACGGGAGGCAGCAGUGGGGAAUAUUGCACAAUGGGCGCAAGCCUGAUGCAGCCAUGCCGCGUGUAUGAAGAAGGCCUUCGGGUUGUAAAGUACUUUCAGCGGGGAGGAAGGGAGUAAAGUUAAUACCUUUGCUCAUUGACGUUACCCGCAGAAGAAGCACCGGCUAACUCCGU
This 489-nucleotide ribosomal RNA is filed under the name uncultured bacterium. RNAcentral's name for it is "partial 16S ribosomal RNA". It matches the Rfam family "Bacterial small subunit ribosomal RNA", at positions 30 to 506 of the family's 1533-position model. The record is from RNAcentral.